AAUCAACGCUGGCGGCGUGCCUAACACAUGCAAGUCGAACGCGAAAGGGGAGCAAUCCCUGAGUAGAGUGGCAAACGGGUGAGUAACACGUGGGUGACCUGCCUUCGAGUGGGGGAUAACGUUCCGAAAGGAACGCUAAUACCGCAUGACAUCCUGCUUUUGGAGAAGCGGAGAUCAAAGCUGGGGAUUCGCAAGAACCUAGCGCUUGAAGAGGGGCCCGCGCCUGAUUAGCUAGUUGGUGGGGUAACGGCUCACCAAGGCUUCGAUCAGUAUCCGGCCUGAGAGGGCGGACGGACACACUGGGACUGAGACACGGCCCAGACUCCUACGGGAGGCAGCAGUGGGGAAUUGUUCGCAAUGGGCGCAAGCCUGACGACGCAACGCCGCGUGGAGGAUGAAGAUUUUCGGAUCGUAAACUCCUGUCGAGUGGGAAGAAUAGCUUCCGGGCGAAUAUCCCGGAAGUCUGAC
RNAcentral lists this ribosomal RNA (468 nucleotides) under uncultured bacterium. Its description in RNAcentral is "bacterial SSU rRNA". It matches the Rfam family "Bacterial small subunit ribosomal RNA", at positions 32 to 473 of the family's 1533-position model. The record is from RNAcentral.